This 1085-nucleotide long non-coding RNA is filed under the name Mus pahari (shrew mouse). RNAcentral's name for it is "predicted gene 43387 (MGP_PahariEiJ_G0033000.1)". Lineage: Eukaryota; Metazoa; Chordata; Mammalia; Rodentia; Muridae. The record is from RNAcentral.
UUGAGGCUAGUUUGGUCUACAGAGUGAGCCUUAGGACAACCAGGGCUGCACAGAGAAACCCUGUUUUGAUAAAAGAGGACAAAAGCUUUGAGAAAAUGAUUAUCUUUGCUGUGACACCAAACCACUCCAUGCAGUGUUAUAAUUUUUUAACUCCUUGUGGCAGGAUCACCUGCCUAGAGUAAUUGCAGUGUGGAGUAUAUGCCUGAGUAGAGAAGCUCUGAAAUAACCGUGUUUGAAAGCCUUUCAUUCCAGCAAGGGCCAGCUCUCUUUUGAGUAGUAAACACAAGUACUAAACAGCCUUUGCCUGUUAAUUCUAGUUUGGGAUUAUUGCAGGGAGCAAAUUUGUUAUUAUAUCACAUUAGUUGUCACUGGAAAGUGAAUUUUGAAAUGAAACUUUGUUUAUUGCUAGAUCCAAGAGUUGAAACAUUUCAGGAAGUCAGAAAUAGCAUUUGAUUUAUUAGGAGCUAUCUUCUUGUGCACUGAAAAGUUUGUGGUUUAACAGAGCAUUCUAUACAGAAAAAUUCCCACAGUUGUUAAUUCUGCCCCAUAUUUUUUGGGAAAUCUUACCUAGGAAGAGAAUUGAUCCUCAUUUGCAAAGGCGGAUUUGUGGGACAGUAUCUGUGCCUACAAAUGACUUUUUAAAGCCUCACUUCAGAGUGGAGUAUAAAUAACAGUGUUGGUUUUUCUAGGCCAUUUUGAGUCUGUGUUUACUUCUCACCUUGUUUCUGAGGUCGAGUGAGCGUCAGCUACAUGAAGAGUCUCCGUGCUAAAAUACAUACCUGGGAGAAAGGCUAGUGAAAUUCUGUUUUUGUUUUUGGUUCUAUUUGUUUGUUUGUUUGUUUUCCUGGUGUGGAUUAGGUGUGUUUUAUGAGUAAGUUAUAUUCAAAAUGCCCUAGAACAUGUUCUUGUGUUCUCUCCCUCCCUCUCUCUCCCUCUCUCUCUCUUUCUCUCUCUUCUCUAAGGUGAUGUUGAGUUAAAAACUCUUUAAGUCAUUAGCACUUGCAAUUUUGCUAUAGGGUCAAAAGUUGGUGAUAACAUCAUUCUAAAGAUGUAAUAUUUUUAAAGGCUAUCUAGUUAUGAACUUU